UACAGAGGGGGCAAGCGUUAUUCGGAAUUAUUGGGCGUAAAGGGCGCGUAGGCGGCUUGGCAAGUGGAUGGUGAAAUCCCUCGGCUUAACCGAGGAACUGCCGUCCAAACUGCUUUGCUUGAGACCGGGAGAGGUGAGUGGAAUUCCCAGUGUAGCGGUGAAAUGCGUAGAUAUUGGGAAGAACACCAGUGGCGAAGGCGGCUCACUGGACCGGUACUGACGCUGAGGCGCGAAAGCGUGGGGAGCAAACGGG
Molecule: ribosomal RNA, 253 nt
Filed under: uncultured bacterium
Lineage: Bacteria
Description: partial 16S ribosomal RNA
Rfam family: Bacterial small subunit ribosomal RNA
Source: RNAcentral